This 541-nucleotide long non-coding RNA is filed under the name Panax ginseng (ginseng). RNAcentral describes it as "long non-coding RNA (PGIN_LNC005722)". Lineage: Eukaryota; Viridiplantae; Streptophyta; Magnoliopsida; Apiales; Araliaceae. The record is from RNAcentral.
AUUGAAAACGAAAAAAGGGAGAGAAUGACAGUGUAACAGAGGAGUGUAAAAAAAGACGAGAUUCCUUGGCCUCGAGGAAGAAUAAAGAGGGAAAGGAAAGCUCUACUCCAAAUUUAAAAAAAAAAAAAAAGAAAGAGAGAUAAAGGGAGAGCUUGAAGAGCUCACAAAGAAGAAUGGUAUGAAGAGAAAAAACUUACUGAAAAAAGCACACACAGUACACUGUAUCAGUGUGUGAGAGAGAAAAGCUAGCAGAAAAUUUCCUUUUGAAAAUUCUGGGGGAAAAGGACUGGAACAGAGACUGGUUGUGGAAUUUGUCAGCAGCUGAGAAAUUUCUUGUGUGGAGGUUGGAAUAUUUCUUUUUCCGGUGAAUAGUCUUCUAGAGAAAAAAUAUGCUACAAAAAGAAAGAGAGUGGCUCAGCAGCCGUUAGAUGAGAGAAAUGAGAUGAGUGAGAGAGAUGGGGGAAGGAAGGAAGGAAGAAAGAAAACGCAACUGAACACCGAAACUAGUGCUCUUUACUAUUUUAUAGGAUGGUAUGGCCGG